This 125-nucleotide small RNA is filed under the name Marmota monax (woodchuck). Lineage: Eukaryota; Metazoa; Chordata; Mammalia; Rodentia; Sciuridae. The record is from RNAcentral.
GUCAGGUGCAGUGGCCCACACCUGUAAUCCCAGCAGCUCGGGAGGCUGAGACAGGAGGAUCUUGAGUUCAAAGUCAGCCUCAGCAAAAGAGAGGCACUAAGCAACUUAGUGAGACCCUGUCUCUA